Long non-coding RNA from Hyla sarda, 1913 nucleotides. RefSeq lists it as uncharacterized. The transcript has 2 exons. NCBI's taxonomy places the organism in Eukaryota, Metazoa, Chordata, Amphibia, Anura, Hylidae. The record is from RefSeq and is a predicted model, not a curated record.
UUUAAAUAAUUUUAUUAUCCUGAGAAAAAAUAAAUAAAAAGACUAACAGCAGAUCCAAACAAACAAAAAUAAAUAAUGUAACAGUCUCCAACCUGUGACCUUCAGGCUGUUGCAAAACCACAACGAUCUGACGGCUGGAAGGUAACCGAGGUAACAUGCAGUUUCAUCAUUCUUUAAUAGUAACUCUUUCUGAUAUGUAUUCAGUGCUUCCUUCUGUCCAGAUGUAUUUUUUUCCCCACUUGUGGAUAACAGUUGGAAUACAUAAAAUCAAAAACAUCUCUAAUACAUUAGAAAAAAAAAAAAAAACAAGAAAGAUGACAGAACACACGGCCCAUCGCAGUGGCCUUGUAGGAAGCUGUAUAGUGGCAGACCAGACUGUCCGUGCUGAUCACUGUCCACUGCUUAGAGCAGUGUUUCCCAACCAGGGUGCAUGUGAGCAUCAGAACUGGGCCAAGGAGCAAUGAGAGGAGGCGGCCUGGCACGAUGAAUCCCAUUUUCUUUUACGUGAAGUAGAUAGCUGAGUGCGUGUCUGCCGCUUACCUUGUAAAGAGAUGUCACCAUGAUGUAAUAAAGGGAAGAAGACCAGAUGGAACAGGCAGUGUGAUACACUGGGCAAUGUUCUUCCUGGCUCCUAAUACUCGUGGGGAUGUUCUUUUGACAAGUACUGCCUACCUAAAUAUUGUUACACACCAAAUAGACCCCUUCAUGGCCAUGGUACACCCUUAUAGCAAUGGCUUCUUUCGGCAGGAUAGCGGCUCUGCCCACACGCCAUAAAUUGUACAGGAAUAUGACAAAGUUCAAGGUGUUGACUAGGCCUUUAAAUUCCUCAAUUUUAUCAGGCGACAUGUGAUGUGCUGGAAAAAUAUUGCUAAGGGUGUACUCACACCAUGCUAUGUGCCUCCAGGGCACAGAUCUAGAAGAGGCUCAAAAGCUGCCUGCAACUUUUUAGUGCGUUUUAAGUCUGAUAAGGCCAAAAAAUGAAAAAAAAUACAAGUAAAUUAUAAAAUGCGGUGGGGGGGGGGGGGGGGGUGAUGAAAGAUUAUCUGCAGGUCUACAAGAAGACAAGGAAGAGGAAGUGGGUGUGGGGAUUUAUCAAAACCUGUCCAGAGAAAAGUUGCUGAGUUGCCCAUAGCAACCAAUCAGAUCGCUUCUUUCAUUUUUAACAAGGCCUCUGCAAAAUGAAAGAAGCAAUCUGAUUGGUUGCUAUGGGCAACUCGGCAACUGUUCCUCUGCACAGGUUUUGAUAAAUCUCCCCCAGGGUUUGCAUGUCGUCAGUAACCAUGGAGAGACAUAGGUCUGGACAGGAAAUAAAGCACACAACAGGAGGAUAUUUCUAAUUAAGACUGGAAAGAGGUCUCGUUAUUGAGGCUUAAAAUUAAUUAGCUAAAAUUGGUUGCAAAUGUUUUCAUAAAGUGCAGGACCCUUUAAAGGUGUAUUUAAGGGAGCAACGUUUGUUAUUAGGCCAGUGUUUCCCAACCAGUGUGCCUCUGUUGCAAAACUACAACUCCCAGCAUGCACGGACAGCCUUUGGCUGUCCGGGCAUGCUGGGUGUUGUAGUUUUGCAACAGCUGGAAGCACCCUGGUUGGGAAACACUGGAAUAUGCAUUUGAUAAUUAAUAAAAAAUCCUAUGCUUUCCUUCCUCACUCCCCUGCUGCCAUUCUCACGAAGCCCUGAUCUCACUGAACAGUCCUUCCAGGGUUGGAGUUGGCACAAGAAAAUGCCCACUUAGCCAACUGGUGCCACAGGACUGUGCAGCCGUGGGGGACUGUGUAAACAGCAGGGGAGCAAAAAAAGUAUAGGAUUAUUUUUUUUUGUUUUUACCACCUGCCUGAGCACAAAUUUACAUUAUAUUUUGGAAUAUGCCUUUAGGGUGUGCUCACAUGGACAGUAAAAAAAAAUAAAUAAAAAAAAA